This 554-nucleotide ribosomal RNA is filed under the name uncultured Arthrobacter sp. RNAcentral's name for it is "bacterial SSU rRNA". It matches the Rfam family "Bacterial small subunit ribosomal RNA", at positions 381 to 925 of the family's 1533-position model. Lineage: Bacteria; Bacillati; Actinomycetota; Actinomycetes; Micrococcales; Micrococcaceae. The record is from RNAcentral.
GCCUGAUGUAGCGACGCCUAGUGAGGGAGGACGGCAUAAGGGGUUGUAAACCUCUUUCAGUAGGAAGGGUGCGAAAGUGAUUAGUACCUGGUAAGAAGCGUAGGCUAACUACGUGCCAGCAGCCGCGGGAUAUACGUAGGUUAGCAAGCGUGGGCCGGAUUGGUUGGGCGUAAAGAGCUCGUAGGCGGUAUCGCGUCUGCAAUGAAAGUCAAAGGCUCAUUGCUCGGAUGGGCGGUGGGUACGGGCAGACUUAAAGUGAUGUCCGGGAGAUAGAAUUCCUGGGGUGUAGCGGUCCAAUGCGCAGAUAUCAGGAUACACCGCCGGCGAAGGUUAGGUCUCUGGUGCAUUUACUGACGCUGAGGAGCGAAAGCAUUCUGGAAGAGCGAUUGGAUUAGACCACCCUGGUAUGUCCAUGCCGCGAACGUUGCCGCACUAGGUAAGGGAGGGACAUCACAACGUCCUUGUCCGCGCCGUAUUUAACGCAUCCAGUGCCCCGCCUGGGGAGUUCGGCCGGUAGGCUAAGAACGGCAACAGGAGGUGACGGGGGCUCCGCA